Molecule: ribosomal RNA, 497 nt
Filed under: uncultured bacterium
Lineage: Bacteria
Description: partial 16S ribosomal RNA
Rfam family: Bacterial small subunit ribosomal RNA
Source: RNAcentral
GAUGAACGCUGGCGGCGUGCCUAAUACAUGCAAGUCGAGCGGACGGACGAGAAGCUUGCUUCUCUGAUGUUAGCGGCGGACGGGUGAGUAACACGUGGAUAACCUACCUAUAAGACUGGGAUAACUUCGGGAAACCGUAGCUAAUACCGGAUAAUAUUUUGAACCGCAUGGUUCAAAAGUGAAAGACGGUCUUGCUGUCACUUAUAGAUGGAUCCGCGCUGCAUUAGCUAGUUGGUAAGGUAACGGCUUACCAAGGCAACGAUGCAUAGCCGACCUGAGAGGGUGAUCGGCCACAUUGGAACUGAGACACGGUCCAGACUCCUACGGGAGGCAGCAGUAGGGAAUCUUCCGCAAUGGGCGAAAGCCUGACGGAGCAACGCCGCGUGAGUGAUGAAGGUCUUCGGAUCGUAAAACUCUGUUAUUAGGGAAGAACAUAUGUGUAAGUAACUGUGCACAUCUUGACGGUACCUAAUCAGAAAGCCACGGCUAACUACGUG